RNAcentral lists this ribosomal RNA (252 nucleotides) under uncultured bacterium. Its description in RNAcentral is "partial 16S ribosomal RNA". It matches the Rfam family "Bacterial small subunit ribosomal RNA", at positions 524 to 776 of the family's 1533-position model. The record is from RNAcentral.
UACGGAGGAUGCGAGCGUUAUCCGGAUUUAUUGGGUUUAAAGGGUGCGUAGGCGGAUCGUUAAGUCAGUGGUCAAAUUGAGGGGCUCAACCCCUUCCCGCCAUUGAAACUGGCGAUCUUGAGUGGAAGAGAAGUAUGCGGAAUGCAUGGUGUAGCGGUGAAAUGCAUAGAUAUCACGCAGAACCCCGAUUGCGAAGGCAGCAUGCCGGCUUCCUACUGACGCUGAAGCACGAAAGCGUGGGGAUCGAACAGG